RNAcentral lists this ribosomal RNA (576 nucleotides) under Caloplaca aff. nashii R137. RNAcentral's name for it is "eukaryotic LSU rRNA". The stretch from base 238 to 391 matches the Rfam family "5.8S ribosomal RNA". The record is from RNAcentral. Lineage: Eukaryota; Fungi; Ascomycota; Lecanoromycetes; Teloschistales; Teloschistaceae.
UUCCGUAGGUGAACCUGCGGAAGGAUCAUUACCGAGAGCGGGAGGUGCGCCUGGCGGCCACGUCCCGGGGGGCUACGCCCCCAACUCCGCCGCCCCGUGUAUAUCUACCUCUGUUGCUUCGGCGAGCGUCGGGGCGCCUCGUGCCCCCGGCCCCGGCCCCCGGCCGGUGCGUUCUCGCCAGAGGCCCCUUUUCAUUCUGUCUCAGUGACGUCCGAGCACACCGAUUGAAUCAAUCAAAACUUUCAACAACGGAUCUCUUGGUUCUGGCAUCGAUGAAGAACGCAGCGAAAUGCGAUAAGUAAUGUGAAUUGCAGAAUUCAGUGAAUCAUCGAAUCUUUGAACGCACAUUGCGCCCCUCGGUAUUCCGGGGGGCAUGCCUGUUCGAGCGUCAUUGCAACCUUCAAGCUUGGCUUGGUAUUGGGCGUUCGCGGCCCCCGUUCCGGGGGCGGCGUGCCCGUAAACUAGUGGCGGUCCGGGAGAGACUUCAAGCGCAGUAAACCGUUUCGCUUUCGAGGUGUCGCCCGGGGCCCGGCCGUAAAACCCCCCCAUUUUCAAUGAUUGACCUCGGAUCAGGUA